GAUUAAGUUAUUAAGGGCGCACGGUGGAUGCCUUGGCACUAGAAGCCGAUGAAGGACGUUACUAACGACGAUAUGCUUUGGGGAGCUGUAAGUAAGCUUUGAUCCAGAGAUUUCCGAAUGGGGAAACCCAGCAUGAGUUAUGUCAUGUUAUCGAUAUGUGAAUACAUAGCAUAUCAGAAGGCACACCCGGAGAACUGAAACAUCUUAGUACCCGGAGGAAGAGAAAGAAAAUUCGAUUCCCUUAGUAGCGGCGAGCGAAACGGGAAGAGCCCAAACCAACAAGCUUGCUUGUUGGGGUUGUAGGACACUCUAUACGGAGUUACAAAGGACGACAUUAGACGAAUCAUCUGGAAAGAUGAAUCAAAGAAGGUAAUAAUCCUGUAGUCGAAAAUGUUGUCUCUCUUGAGUGGAUCCUGAGUACGACGGAGCACGUGAAAUUCCGUCGGAAUCUGGGAGGACCAUCUCCUAAGGCUAAAUACUCUCUAGUGACCGAUAGUGAACCAGUACCGUGAGGGAAAGGUGAAAAGCACCCCGGAAGGGGAGUGAAAUAGAACCUGAAACCGUGUGCUUACAAGUAGUCAGAGCCCGUUAAUGGGUGAUGGCGUGCCUUUUGUAGAAUGAACCGGCGAGUUACGAUUUGAUGCAAGGUUAAGCAGUAAAUGUGGAGCCGUAGCGAAAGCGAGUCUGAAUAGGGCGUUUAGUAUUUGGUCGUAGACCCGAAACCAGGUGAUCUACCCUUGGUCAGGUUGAAGUUCAGGUAACACUGAAUGGAGGACCGAACCGACUUACGUUGAAAAGUGAGCGGAUGAACUGAGGGUAGCGGAGAAAUUCCAAUCGAACCUGGAGAUAGCUGGUUCUCUCCGAAAUAGCUUUAGGGCUAGCCUCAAGUGAUGAUUAUUGGAGGUAGAGCACUGUUUGGACGAGGGGCCCCUCUCGGGUUACCGAAUUCAGACAAACUCCGAAUGCCAAUUAAUUUAACUUGGGAGUCAGAACAUGGGUGAUAAGGUCCGUGUUCGAAAGGGAAACAGCCCAGACCACCAGCUAAGGUCCCAAAAUAUAUGUUAAGUGGAAAAGGAUGUGGCGUUGCCCAGACAACUAGGAUGUUGGCUUAGAAGCAGCCAUCAUUUAAAGAGUGCGUAAUAGCUCACUAGUCGAGUGACACUGCGCCGAAAAUGUACCGGGGCUAAACAUAUUACCGAAGCUGUGGAUUGUCCUUUGGACA
Molecule: ribosomal RNA, 1222 nt
Filed under: Staphylococcus aureus
Lineage: Bacteria; Bacillati; Bacillota; Bacilli; Caryophanales; Staphylococcaceae
Description: partial 23S ribosomal RNA
Rfam family: Bacterial large subunit ribosomal RNA
Source: RNAcentral